UACGAAGGGUGCAAGCGUUACUCGGAAUUACUGGGCGUAAAGCGUGCGUAGGUGGUUCGUUAAGUCUGAUGUGAAAGCCCUGGGCUCAACCUGGGAACUGCAUUGGAUACUGGCGAUCUGGAGUGCGGUAGAGGGUGGCGGAAUUCCCGGUGUAGCAGUGAAAUGCGUAGAUAUCGGGAGGAACAUCCGUGGCGAAGGCGGCCACCUGGACCAGCACUGACACUGAGGCACGAAAGCGUGGGGAGCAAACAGG
This 253-nucleotide ribosomal RNA is filed under the name uncultured bacterium. Its description in RNAcentral is "partial 16S ribosomal RNA". It matches the Rfam family "Bacterial small subunit ribosomal RNA", at positions 524 to 776 of the family's 1533-position model. RNAcentral also lists the same sequence under 1 other name. The record is from RNAcentral.